GAUGAACGCUAGCGGGAGGCCUAACACAUGCAAGCCGAGCGGUAUUGUUUCUUCGGCAAUGAGAGAGCGGCGUACGGGUGCGUAACACGUGUGCAACCUGCCUUUAUCUGGGGGAUAGCCUUUCGAAAGGAAGAUUAAUACUCCAUAAUAUAUUGAACGGCAUCGUUUAAUAUUGAAAGCUCCGGCGGAUAGAGAUGGGCACGCGCAAGAUUAGCUAGUUGGUGAGGUAACGGCUCACCAAGGCGAUGAUCUUUAGGGGGCCUGAGAGGGUGAUCCCCCACACUGGUACUGAGACACGGACCAGACUCCUACGGGAGGCAGCAGUGAGGAAUAUUGGUCAAUGGGUGCAAGCCUGAACCAGCCAUCCCGCGUGAAGGACGACUGCCCUAUGGGUUGUAAACUUCUUUUGUAUAGGGAUAAACCUACCCUCGAGAGGGUAGCUGAAGUUACUAUACGAAUAAGCACCGGCUAACUCCGUG
This 479-nucleotide ribosomal RNA is filed under the name uncultured bacterium. RNAcentral's name for it is "partial 16S ribosomal RNA". It matches the Rfam family "Bacterial small subunit ribosomal RNA", at positions 28 to 507 of the family's 1533-position model. The record is from RNAcentral.